RNAcentral lists this ribosomal RNA (253 nucleotides) under uncultured bacterium. RNAcentral describes it as "partial 16S ribosomal RNA". It matches the Rfam family "Bacterial small subunit ribosomal RNA", at positions 524 to 776 of the family's 1533-position model. The record is from RNAcentral.
GACAGAGGGUGCAAACGUUGUUCGGAAUUACUGGGCGUAAAGCGCGUGUAGGCGGCUGCGCAAGUCGGAUGUGAAAUCCCGUGGCUCAACCACGGAAGUGCACCCGAAACUGCGUAGCUUGAGUCUCGGAGAGGAAGGUGGAAUGCUUGGUGUAGAGGUGAAAUUCGUAGAUAUCAAGCGGAACACCGGUGGCGAAGGCGGGUCUCUGGGCCGAUAUUGACGCUGAGGAGCGAAAGCGUGGGGAGCGAACAGG